Molecule: ribosomal RNA, 626 nt
Filed under: Entoloma vezzenaense
Lineage: Eukaryota; Fungi; Basidiomycota; Agaricomycetes; Agaricales; Entolomataceae
Description: partial small subunit ribosomal RNA
Rfam family: Bacterial small subunit ribosomal RNA
Source: RNAcentral
CAGUCAAGAAUAUUAGUCAAUGCUCGCAAGAGUGAACUAGCUAACUGAAAUAACAGGAUCCACUACGUGUGGUGAAUGUUAUAACGUAAGGGAAAAAAAUGAUAUUACCUUACUAUUAGUGUUGUCCAAAACUGGUGCCAGAAGACUCGGUAAGACCAGAGACGCAAACGUUAGUCGUCCUAAUCAGGCGUAAAGGGUAUGUAGGCUGCUUUAAAAGUUUAAUAUUUAAUAGCUCUGUAAAAAAAAAAAUAAUAUUAUAAAUAUAAAUUUAAUUUUACAGUAAAUAUCAAAUGAAUUAAAGCUAGGAUCAAAUUGAGGAUAAGUCAAAUAAUACUUAGUGUAGGGUUUAAAUCUGGUGAUACUAGGGGGAGUACUAACGGUGAAAGCUUUUUAUCUAGAAAUGAUUGACGCUGAGAAACGAAGGUGAGAAUAGGAAAUAGGAUUAGAUACCCAGAUACCUCUCACAGUCAACGAUGAAUGGUGGUUGUUAGUUAGUUUUACUUAACUGAUAACGAUGUUAACACGAUAACCAUUCCGCCUUGCGAGUACGGUUGCAAAACUGAAACCAAAAAAAUUAGUCGGUCUCGAAGCAAACGAAGUGAAGCAUGUUAUUUAAUUCGAUAAUC